RNAcentral lists this long non-coding RNA (539 nucleotides) under Linum usitatissimum (flax). RNAcentral describes it as "long non-coding RNA (LUSI_LNC002159)". The record is from RNAcentral. Lineage: Eukaryota; Viridiplantae; Streptophyta; Magnoliopsida; Malpighiales; Linaceae.
AUGUCGUGUUGAUCUCUCUUCACUGAUUCAGUGGCCAAACAAUUGGCAAAAUCGUUACAUUUUAGUUCAGGGUGAUGAUGUACGUUGCUGUUUCAGCUGCAACAAAUUUCGGAACCAGAAAUGGUGGGGAAAGGCAAAGAAAAGAAACCCAGUGACGCCAUACAUGGUUUAGAGUGGUUUUAUUAAGGCCACGCGGCCCAUUUUUCCAAAUUAGAGCUCCAAUUUUGAAAAUUCUGAUUAUGAAAUGACAAGGAAAUGCUUUGGUGCAUCUGUUAGUAAUUCUCCAGGUGCUGGCUGCAAAGCUCCAUUAACAGAUAUUGUUUGUUUGUUUGGUCGUCUGUUUUUUUGGGUGUAAUGUGGGGAAGAUCAUUGACUCUUUUUUUUGACAGAGGAAAAUGGAGCUUCUGGAGCUUGGAUUGGUAAAGGGCUCACUUGUGUGUGCUUCAAUAGGAAAGGAGUUUAUCAUCAGCGCAUCUUCAUCAACAUGACUCCUCACCAGGUACAUUAAGUCUGAGUUUUUACUCACUAUGUUGCUUGGU